This 460-nucleotide ribosomal RNA is filed under the name uncultured bacterium. RNAcentral's name for it is "partial 16S ribosomal RNA". It matches the Rfam family "Bacterial small subunit ribosomal RNA", at positions 338 to 795 of the family's 1533-position model. The record is from RNAcentral.
CCUACGGGAGGCAGCAGUGAGGAAUAUUGGUCAAUGGCCGGAAGGCUGAACCAGCCAUGCCGCGUGAAGGGCAGGGUCCUACGGGCGUUAAACUUCUUUUGUGCGGGAGCAAUAAUGGUCACGUGUGGCCAGACGAGAGUACCGUACGAAUAAGCAUCGGCUAACUCCGUGCCAGCAGCCGCGGUGAUACGGGGGAUGCAAGCGUUAGACGGAUUUAAUGGGUUUAAAGGGGGCGUAGGCUGUGAGGUAAGUCAGCGGGGGAAUGCCCCCGCUUAACGGGGUGAAGUGCCAUUGAUACUGCCCUGCUGGAGUGCGGAUGCCGUGGGAGGAAUGUGUGGUGUAGCGGUGAAAUGCAUAGAUAUCACACAGAACACCGAUUGCGAAGGCAUCUCACGAAUCCGCGAUUGACGCUGAUGCACGAAAGCGUGGGUAUCAAACAGGAUUAGAUACCCGGGUAGUC